Leopardus geoffroyi (Geoffroy's cat) is the source of this 1400-nucleotide long non-coding RNA. RefSeq lists it as uncharacterized. The record is from RefSeq and is a predicted model, not a curated record. Lineage: Eukaryota; Metazoa; Chordata; Mammalia; Carnivora; Felidae. The transcript is spliced from 2 exons.
GCCCGCCCCGCCUCGGCCCGCCGGGGCAAACGCUGCCCACCGCCCCAGCCCCGGCCCGGCCUGGCCCGGCCCGGCCCGGCGUGGUCGGGAAGGAGGCCGGGCGCCGACGUAUUUCGCCCGUGGAGAGCCAGGGGGGACGCUGAAGCCCGGCGUCGCAGCGGAGGGGCGCCUUCAAGUGCUGCCAGGGCUCCCUGGGGAGCCAGAUGGCAGCGAGAAGGGCGAGUGGGACCGGGAGGUUUCUUCCUCCCGAGGAAGACAGGUUUGAGAACGUCUGUGGAUCCUUGGAUACACCACUGGUGCAGAGGUUCUGCAGAGGAAGCCACAACUGGCCCGGUUGCCCUUCUAGCAGCACCAAGGAAGGAAACAGAAGAUGGGUCUCCCAUGUUGAGGCGCCCCCUACCAGGGCAAGGUGAGCCCAAGAAUUACACAGGCAGAACCCUCAACAAGAGCAGGGUUUCCUGGAACGUCUGGAGCAGCAACUCUUGACAGUUUAAAGCCCGUUUUCCCUACCACCUCCACCUCCAACCCUCAGGAAUGGAAAGAUCUUUCUGAGAAGAGGGCUGAUAUCUGUUCAAAAUGUAUUUCUGCUGACCACUGACAUCUGAUGAGAGGGUGAGGGGUAGCCUCUAUCACAAAGCUGUAGGACCUAGAGCUGGGGGGAGGGGGUCUUGGGGCUUCACCGCACUAGCCCUGCCUUUUGGGCUCCAUUUACCAGUCAGGCUGAGGCCCAGGAGACAACGACCUGUCCAGAGAUGGCUGUGUACCCUGGAGUGGAGCCUGGAGUCCAGGCUAAGUCACGAGGGGGGGUGGGGGGGCAGGGUUCUGCCCAGCCCAUCCAGAGCUGGCAUUUGGAUCUCAGUUCUCUGACAACUGCUUGGGAAAAAGAGACCUUUUAAAAUAGUCCAUCUGCAAAUGGGCCCCUGUGAGGAGCCCUAUGGGAAAGAAGAGGAAGCUUUCAGGCCAGAAUGUGUAAGAACAAAGGGAAGAAACAAGCCUGUUGUGUACAGAGAGGCCACCUGGAGAGGUGGAGACCUGAGUCCAGUCCUGCACUGUGUUUUUCUGGGCCAGCUUCCUCUAGGUAAGGGAAGCAGCUGAAUGGAUUAAAUCAGCUUUCCCCAAGAAACUCUGGGAUAGAGUGAAAGUGCAUCAGGAAUUCAUAACCUUUCAUUUGGCUUCACUUUAAAAAUUUUGUCUUAGAACUUCUAAUAAAUGUUAGCGGAAACAUGUGUUAUAUGCCAAAAGUGUUGGAGCCCACUGAUGUACAGUUGACCCUUGAAUAACAUGGGUUUGAACCGUACAGGUCUGCUUAUACAUGCAUUUUUUUUAGAUACAGUGCAACACUCUAUCUGUAAUUUCUCAUCCUUAAGAUUUUUUCUUUUUAAAAAAAAUUUUAAAAGGUU